RNAcentral lists this ribosomal RNA (435 nucleotides) under uncultured Anaerovorax sp. RNAcentral describes it as "partial 16S ribosomal RNA". It matches the Rfam family "Bacterial small subunit ribosomal RNA", at positions 341 to 792 of the family's 1533-position model. The record is from RNAcentral. Lineage: Bacteria; Bacillati; Bacillota; Clostridia; Peptostreptococcales; Anaerovoracaceae.
ACGGAAGGCAGCAGUGGGGAAUAUUGCACAAUGGGGGGAACCCUGAUGCAGCAACGCCGCGUGAGCGAAGAAGGCCUUUGGGUCGUAAAGCUCUGUCCUAAGGGAAGAAGAAGUGACGGUACCUUAGGAGGAAGCCCCGGCUAACUACGUGCCAGCAGCCGCGGUAAUACGUAGGGGGCGAGCGUUAUCCGGAAUUAUUGGGCGUAAAGGGUACGUAGGCGGAAUAUUAAGCGUGGGGUGAAAGGCAAAGGCUUAACCAUUGUAAGCCCUGCGAACUGAUAUGCUUGAGUGCAGGAGAGGAAAGCGGAAUUCCUAGUGUAGCGGUGAAAUGCGUAGAUAUUAGGAGGAACACCAGUGGCGAAGGCGGCUUUCUGGACUGUAACUGACGCUGAGGUACGAAAGUGUGGGUAGCGAACAGGAUUAGAUACCCUGGUA